Molecule: ribosomal RNA, 447 nt
Filed under: uncultured bacterium
Lineage: Bacteria
Description: bacterial SSU rRNA
Rfam family: Bacterial small subunit ribosomal RNA
Source: RNAcentral
GAUGAACGCUGGCGGCGUGCUUAACACAUGCAAGUCGAACGGGAAAUAUUUCAUUGAGACUUCGGUGGAUUUGAUCUAUUUCUAGUGGCGGACGGGUGAGUAACGCGUGGGUAACCUGCCUUAUACAGGGGGAUAACAGUCAGAAAUGGCUGCUAAUACCGCAUAAGCGCACAGAGCUGCAUGGCUCGGUGUGAAAAACUCCGGUGGUAUAAGAUGGACCCGCGUUGGAUUAGCUUGUUGGUGGGGUAACGGCCCACCAAGGCGACGAUCCAUAGCCGGCCUGAGAGGGUGAACGGCCACAUUGGGACUGAGACACGGCCCAGACUCCUACGGGAGGCAGCAGUGGGGAAUAUUGCACAAUGGGGGAAACCCUGAUGCAGCGACGCCGCGUGAAGGAAGAAGUAUCUCGGUAUGUAAACUUCUAUCAGCAGGGAAGAUAGUGACGGU